CUUCCUAAAUCAAUCACAGGCGCUUCCUCCUAUUCCGGUGAAGAUUGUCGUCGCUUCUACCACCACCACCGGCGCAUCUUCUUCUCUCCCUCCACCCUCUCUCGUGACCCCAAUCACGCACACACCCAAACGGACACGCCUCACCCUUCUUCCUAAAUCCACCGCCACCGCCCCCUUCAGAUUCUCGGCAAACAGCAGCGGCACGGCUGCUCCGUUGCCCAGAGCCUCCUCACCUUUCGUUCUUUGACUCACAUCCCUCAUCUCUCUAUAAAACCUUAGAUCCCCAAAUCU
Molecule: long non-coding RNA, 291 nt
Filed under: Salvia miltiorrhiza (redroot sage)
Lineage: Eukaryota; Viridiplantae; Streptophyta; Magnoliopsida; Lamiales; Lamiaceae
Description: long non-coding RNA (SMIL_LNC009561)
Source: RNAcentral